Molecule: ribosomal RNA, 1461 nt
Filed under: metagenome
Description: bacterial SSU rRNA
Rfam family: Bacterial small subunit ribosomal RNA
Source: RNAcentral
AGAGUUUGAUCCUGGCUCAGGAUGAACGCUAGCGGCAGGCUUAAUACAUGCAAGUCGAGGGGUAACAGGGAAGCUUGCUUCCGCUGACGACCGGCGCACGGGUGCGUAACGCGAAUGCAACCUACCUCCAACUGGGGAAUAGCCCCGAGAAAUCGGGAUUAAUACCCCAUAAUAUUCAUCAUUCGCAUGUUUGAUGAAUUAAAGUUUCGACGGUUAGAGAUGGGCAUGCGUGACAUUAGCUUGUUGGUGGGGUAACGGCUCACCAAGGCUGCGAUGUCUAGGGGUUCUGAGAGGAUUAUCCCCCACACUGGUACUGAGACACGGACCAGACUCCUACGGGAGGCAGCAGUAAGGAAUAUUGGUCAAUGGACGAAAGUCUGAACCAGCCAUGCCGCGUGCAGGAUGACUGCCCUAUGGGUUGUAAACUGCUUUUAUACAGGAAGAAACCUCUGCACGUGUGCAGGGCUGACGGUACUGUAUGAAUAAGCACCGGCUAACUCCGUGCCAGCAGCCGCGGUAAUACGGAGGGUGCAAGCGUUAUCCGGAUUUAUUGGGUUUAAAGGGUGCGCAGGCGGAAUGAUAAGUCAGUGGUGAAAGCCUACAGCUCAACUGUAGAACUGCCAUUGAUGCUGCCAUUCUUGAGUACAGUGGAAGUGGGUAAUGUAUCAUGUAGCGGUGAAAUGCAUAGAUAUGAUACAGAACGCCGAUAGCGUAAGCAGCUCACUAUACUGUAACUGACGCUCAGGCACGAAAGCGUGGGGAGCAAACAGGAUUAGAUACCCUGGUAGUCCACGCCGUAAACGAUGAUCACUCGUUGUUGGUAAUACACAGCCAGCGACUGAACGAAAGCAUUAAGUGAUCCACCUGGGAAGUACGAUCGCAAGGUUGAAACUCAAAGGAAUUGACGGGGGCCCGCACAAGCGGAGGAGCAUGUGGUUUAAUUCGAUGAUACGCGAGGAACCUUACCUGGGCUUAAAUGCAGAACGACCUCCACCGAAAGGUGGAUUCCCUUCGGGGCGAUUUGCAAGGUGCUGCAUGGUUGUCGUCAGCUCGUGCCGUGAGGUGUCGGGUUAAGUCCCAUAACGAGCGCAACCCCUAUUCUUAGUUGCCAUCAGGUAAUGCUGGGGACUCUAAGAAAACUGCCUACGCAAGUAGUGAGGAAGGUGGGGAUGACGUCAAAUCAGCACGGCCCUUAUGUCCAGGGCUACACACGUGCUACAAUGGUCGGUACAGAGGGUCGCUACCUAGUGAUAGGAUGCUAAUCUCGAAAACCGAUCUCAGUUCGGAUCGAAGUCUGCAACUCGACUUCGUGAAGCUGGAUUCGCUAGUAAUCGCAUAUCAGCAAUGGUGCGGUGAAUACGUUCCCGGGCCUUGUACACACCGCCCGUCAAGCCAUGGAAGCUGGGGGUACCUGAAGUCUGUUACCGCAAGGAGCGGCCUAGGGUAAAACUAGUAACUGGU